UGGGGGAUAUUGCACAAUGGGCGAAAGCCUGAUGCAGCGACGCCGCGUGGGGGAUGAAGGCCUUCGGGUUGUAAACUUCUUUUGCUCUGAACAAGGCGCACCAUGGGGUGUGUUGAGUGUAGGGGUUGAUUAGCGCCGGCUAACUACGUGCCAGCAGCCGCGGUAAUACGUAGGGCGCGAGCGUUGUCCGGAAUUAUUGGGCGUAAAGCGCACGCAGGCGGUUGAUUGAGUCAGAUGUGAAAUCCCCGGGCUUAACCCGGGAAUUGCAUCUGAUACUGGUCAGCUAGAGUCUUGUAGAGGGGGGUAGAAUUCCAUGUGUAGCGGUGAAAUGCGUAGAGAUGUGGAGGAAUACCGGUGGCGAAGGCGGCCCCCUGGACAAAGACUGACGCUCAGGUGCGAAAGCGUGGGGAGCAAACAGG
RNAcentral lists this ribosomal RNA (419 nucleotides) under Chloroflexota bacterium. Its description in RNAcentral is "Chloroflexi bacterium partial 16S ribosomal RNA". It matches the Rfam family "Bacterial small subunit ribosomal RNA", at positions 355 to 776 of the family's 1533-position model. The record is from RNAcentral. Lineage: Bacteria; Bacillati; Chloroflexota.